ACCCCCUACGGGGGGCAGCAGUGGGGGAUAUUGCACAAUGGGGGGAACCCUGAUGCAGCGACGCCGCGUGGGUGAAGGAGUAUUUCGGUAUGUAAAGCCCUAUCGGCAGGGAAGAAUUUAGACGGUACCUGACUAAGAAGCCCCGGCUAACUACGUGCCAGCAGCCGCGGUAAUACGUAGGGGGCAAGCGUUAUCCGGAUUCACUGGGUGUAAAGGGAGCGUAGACGGCAAUGCAAGUCCGAUGUGAAAACCCAGGGCUCAACCGUGGGAGUGCAUUGGAAACUGAAUGGCUGGAGUGCAGGAGG
This 305-nucleotide ribosomal RNA is filed under the name uncultured bacterium. Its description in RNAcentral is "partial 16S ribosomal RNA". It matches the Rfam family "Bacterial small subunit ribosomal RNA", at positions 334 to 655 of the family's 1533-position model. The record is from RNAcentral.